Molecule: ribosomal RNA, 496 nt
Filed under: uncultured bacterium
Lineage: Bacteria
Description: partial 16S ribosomal RNA
Rfam family: Bacterial small subunit ribosomal RNA
Source: RNAcentral
GAUGAACGCUGGCGGCGUGCCUAAUACAUGCAAGUCGAGCGAACGGACGAGAAGCUUGCUUCUCUGAUGUUAGCGGCGGACGGGUGAGUAACACGUGGAUAACCUACCUAUAAGACUGGGAUAACUUCGGGAAACCGGAGCUAAUACCGGAUAAUAUUUUGAACCGCAUGGUUCAAAAGUGAAAGACGGUCUUGCUGUCACUUAUAGAUGGAUCCGCGCUGCAUUAGCUAGUUGGUAAGGUAACGGCUUACCAAGGCAACGAUGCAUAGCCGACCUGAGAGGGGGCUCGGCCCCACGGGAAAUGAGAACCGUGCCAGGCCCCGACGGGAGGCAGGAGGAGGGAUUCUUCCGAAAGGGGCGAAACCCUGAGGGAGAAACGCCGGGUGAGUGAUGAAGGUCUGCGGAUCGUAAAACUCUGUUAUUAGGGAAAAACAUAUGUGAAAGUAACUGGGCACAUCUUGACGGAACCUAAUCAGAAAGCCACGGCUAACUACGG